Molecule: long non-coding RNA, 850 nt
Organism: Zea mays
Lineage: Eukaryota; Viridiplantae; Streptophyta; Magnoliopsida; Poales; Poaceae
Exons: 2
Source: RefSeq, a predicted model, not a curated record
GCGGCGACAUUCCUCGCCCGCCCGCGACUCCGGCGACAAGGCUCCAGACCCCGCCGUCAGUGCUCCAACAGUCCCGGUAAGCGCGACGGCUCUUCCCCUUCUCCCCCAUUCGUUUUCCUUGCUAGGGCUCGUCGUCCCCUCCACAUUCCCCUUCCCGAAGAGCUCUCUUCCCUUCCCCUCGUCCAUUUUGCUUGCUGGGAUUGGUCCCGAAGCUUCCAGAUCCCUCUCCCAGUCUCCUUCCCAUAAUCCCAUGGCUUGGUGGCCGUCUCUCUCCCCCACCGCUCGACGCCUUGCCCCCUGCCCGCCAUUGCUCCCGACACCAAUAGCGUCGCUCUAACCUGCUGCUGCGUCGCCGCCGUCGGCAAAUCGCUUCCGCUCUUCCGCGCCAUCUCCACCGACAAGGCCGUCUGGUGAGCGCUUCGCCCUGCUCGCCAAAAAAUUAGUGCGUUAACGGCAGUCGCCUGUAAAUAUGCUAUCUUUCUUAGCCUCUUACAUAUUUAUCUAACAAGAACAACACCUGUACUUGAUCACUCUAACUUGCAAAUACUAAUUUUUAUUUAUUUAUAGCUUAUUGUUCUUCUAUACACAUGUGUAACACAACUACAUGUCUUUACAAUGUAGUGGCUGCUCCAAUCUGGUUGUAUUUAAGAUUUUGAUAAUUUUGAUUUAUCAUGUUCGAUGACUCCAAACUUAACCUUGGCAUUUUGAUUUGAUUGUUCGAUACAAGCUCAAGAUGAUACAGGCUGAUCUGAAUGUGAUAGAAUGCAGACUAUAUAUGGCGCUUCCAGAGAAGCAAGAUCAUCUGUGCCUGCAUAGUCUUACUUUCACAGGCUAACUGACUUCAUAUUCU